This is a long non-coding RNA of Labeo rohita (rohu), 1770 nucleotides long. RefSeq lists it as uncharacterized. The record is from RefSeq and is a predicted model, not a curated record. NCBI's taxonomy places the organism in Eukaryota, Metazoa, Chordata, Actinopteri, Cypriniformes, Cyprinidae. The transcript is spliced from 3 exons.
UGAGACAAGAAGAGGGUUGAGUUUAAGUCAAGACUGAGACCAGAAGAGGGUUGAGUUUGAAUCAAGACUGAGACCAGAAGAAGGUUGAGAUGGGUUGCAAGACUGAGACCAGAAGAGGGUUGAGUUUAAGUCAAGACUGAGACCAGAAGAGGGAGGAGUCUGAGUCAAGACUGAGACCAGAAAAGGGUUGGGUUUGAGUCAAGACUGAGACCAGAAGAGAGAUGAGUCCAAGUCAAGACUGAGAACAGAAGAUGGUUGAGUUUGAGUCAAGACUGAGAGCAGAAGAGAGAUGAGUCAGAGAGAGGAGUCUGAGUCAAGGCUGAGACCAGAGGAGAGUCGCGUUUGUGUCAAGACUGACACCAGAAGAGGGAUGACUCUGAGUCAAGACUGAGACUAGUAGAGAGAUGAGUCUGAGUCAAGACUGAGACAAGAAGAGGGCUGAGUUUGAAUCAAGACUGAGACCAGAAGAAGGUUGAGUUUGAGUCAAGACUGAGACAAGAAGAGGGUUGAGUUUGAAUCAAGACUGAGACCAGAAGAAGGUUGAGAUGGGUUGCAAGACUGAGACCAGAAGAGGGUUGAGUUUAAGUCAAGACUGAGACCAGAAGAGGGAGGAGUCUGAGUCAAGACUGAGACCAGAAAAGGGUUGGGUUUGAGUCAAGACUGAGACCAGAAGAGAGAUGAGUCCAAGUCAAGACUGAGAACAGAAGAUGGUUAAGUUUGAGUCAAGACUGAGAGCAGAAGAGAGAUGAGUCAGAGAGAUGAGUCUGAGUCAAGGCUGAGACCAGAGGAGAGUCGCGUUUGUGUCAAGACUGACACCAGAAGAGGGAUGACUCUGAGUCAAGACUGAGACUAGUAGAGAGAUGAGUCUGAGUCAAGACUGAGACAAGAAGAGGGCUGAGUUUGAAUUAAGACUGAGACCAGAAGAAGGUUGAGUUUGAGUCAAGACUGAGACAAGAAGAGGGUUGAGUUUGAAUCAAGACUGAGACCAGAAGAAGGUUGAGAUGGGUUGCAAGACUGAGACCAGAAGAGGGUUGAGUUUAAGUCAAGACUGAGACCAGAAGAGGGAGGAGUCUGAGUCAAGACUGAGACCAGAAGUAGGUUGAGUUUGGUCUCAAGAUUGAGACCAGAAAAGAGAUGAGUCUGAGUCAGGACUGAGACCAGAAGAGGGUCAAUUUGGUCUCAAGACUGAGACCAGAAGAGAGAUGAGUCUGAGUCAAGACUGAGACCAGAAGAAGGUUGAGGUUAAGUGAAGAUUAAGACCAAAAGAAGACCAGACUAAGACCAGAAUCUACAUGGUAAUGAGUCCAUGUCAAGACCAACAUGAAAACAUGAAAGUAUUGUAUUGGGAACUUAGACUCAUUGUGGACCCAUUUUCAGUGAAUUCUGACUUUUUGUCAUCUGUUCAUUUAGAUGACUACCCAAAGUGACUUACAUUUCAUUCAAAGUAUACUUUUUUAUCAGUUCUUUCUGCUUUCCCUGGGAAUCAAACGCAUGACCUUGUCAUUGCUAGUGUUGUGCUCAACUGUUUGAGGCUGUUUCCUAACAUAAUAUCUUUAUAUCUUCAGAAGACCUACAGCACACAAGUCACAUGGACCACUUUUAUGAUUCCUUACGGUGCUUUUGUGCCAUUUUUAAAGAUUAAAAACUCUAUUCAUUGUAAUUGAUCAUGGAAACAUGCUUUGAAAAGUCUCCAUUUGUUUUUUGUGUAAGAAAGAAAGUCACAAGGGUUUAGAAACUCUAAAGGGAUUUUAACUUCUAUAUAUAUCUUGU